RNAcentral lists this ribosomal RNA (253 nucleotides) under uncultured bacterium. RNAcentral describes it as "partial 16S ribosomal RNA". It matches the Rfam family "Bacterial small subunit ribosomal RNA", at positions 524 to 776 of the family's 1533-position model. The record is from RNAcentral.
CACGUAGGGCGCAAGCGUUGUCCGGAAUUAUUGGGCGUAAAGGGCUCGUAGGCGGUCUGUCGCGUCGGGAGUGAAAACUCAGGGCUUAACCCUGAGCCUGCUUCCGAUACGGGCAGACUAGAGUGCGGUAGGGGAGAAUGGAAUUCCCGGUGUAGCGGUGAAAUGCGCAGAUAUCAGGAGGAACACCGGUGGCGAAGGCGGGUCUCUGGGCCGAUACUGACGCUGAGGAGCGAAAGCGUGGGGAGCAAACAGA